Molecule: long non-coding RNA, 2675 nt
Filed under: Equus caballus (horse)
Lineage: Eukaryota; Metazoa; Chordata; Mammalia; Perissodactyla; Equidae
Description: lncRNA (ENSECAG00000058705.1)
Source: RNAcentral
UGGGCAUGGAUGUUAGCUCAGGGCCAGUCUUCCUCAGAAAAAAGAGGAGGAUUGGCAGUAGUUAGCUCAGGGCUAAUCUUCCUCAAAAACAAAACAAAACAAAACAAAACUAUGGUUCCUCUUCAGGUGAAUUUUUAACUAAAUGAACUGAUUUAACCAAAAAAAAUUUAGAACACCAAUGGCCAUCAUAGGGAACUUUUGAUCUCCCCAAACUUGCUUUUCUUAGAAUUAAAUUAGACAGUCAUGGCUCUAAAAUAAAACAAACUGAGUGGUACGCCUAUUUAAUUGGUACCUGGAGUCUUCCAAACAUAUCCAAGACUCCAGAAUAGCCUCUUUGCCAGAUGACAGUUCUAAAUCAACCAAGAUGAACAAACCAUUGAAAGAAGUCAAAACGGCUUCUGAAGCCUCACGUUCCUCUCCCCUGACUUGUCUCAGGCUUCAGCUAUGACACCAUACAUUUUUCUCUUCUGAAACUCCAGUCCUAUUCAUUAUUAGGAUGAUAUUUUUUAGAAAAUAUCAUUCUGGAUUUCUUUCUCUCAAAAGGGGUAAAUAAUUCUAGAAUUCAACAGCACGCAAAUAAGAAUCUUGGUUUAAAAAACAACAACAAACUCUUUGGCCAUCUGGGCAGGUAAGCUUAACUUAAUCUAUCUGCCAGAAAUGCAAUUUGGAUCCAACUAUUCUUUCGCGUUUUGUACCUGAGACAUGGUUAAAAAAUUUAAAACAAAAGCUAUAAGAGCUCUGUUUAUGUCUAUGUGUCUAUGGAUGUAUGAUAGUUAUGUGAUUUUUUUAAACGUCUGGAUGGUUUUACCAAAAUUAAUUUGUAAAAGAGCUCUACUCAAUUGGCUUGAAAUUAAGUGCUUAUAAAUUAAGUAUUCCUAAAUCUCAGAAAUAUAAUAGAAAUUAACCCAGAUGCUUUUCAAGUUUAUGUGAUCUAUGAUUAAUCUUUAGUAAAUAAAAGCUAUCUUAAGGUUGUUAGUUUAAUCUAAACAGGCAUGUCUUUAGAGUCAUCAACACUCAGUAAUGCAGACACACAACUUUCACUCUACCUGGGUUUAUCAAGUUCAUGUUACCUCUGUUGCAAAAUUUGUCAGCAAGAAAAAAUAAGAUGAUAGCUAAUUGCUUUAAUAGCACAUGAAGUUUUGGUGAGUAAUUUAAACAUAAUUGUCGGGAACAAAAUUAUUUAGACAGAUGAAAAUGAGAAGAUUUUUUGGGUGCAAUAAUUAUAUUUUAUGCUAUGUGUGCUUGAAAAAUAGCUUCCAAAAUCUUUUUGAUAACCUGAGUUGUGCUAAGUUAAAUUAAAUGAUGGAAUUUUAUUGAAUACUUGGAUCACUUUCCUAACAAGAUAAAAUACUAAAACAUUAAUUACUGAACAUAGAUUUAUCUACUUUUGGCUUCCUAUUGCAAAGAAACCGAAGAUAAAUUUGGGUCUGUUAUUAAUCACGUCUUGACAAAAUCUGAACAUAAAAAGAAAAUUGUAGAAGGUUUAUGAAAAGGAAUCUUGGGAAAGGAAUUGUAUGCACAGUCAGAGCUGGAUAAGAUUGGAAUGAAUGAGUUUUAAUAUCAAAAAAGCAAAAUUGAAAUUUGGCUUUCUUUUCUGCUAAAAAUACAAGGUUUUCUUGGUCUGCUUUUGAUAACAGAUUGUGAAAGCUUCUUUACCUUUUAAGUAAUAUGCCUAGAAAGCAGAUUUUUUGUUUUAUCAGAAUAAUUUCCUGCAUUGUUUUUAUCAGUUCUUCUAACAUUAAAGGAGUUCACUUUUGUGUACUACUAUGCAGCCUUUUGUACUUGCCUUUGAAGUCCUUUGUUACUUUGGUCGAAUGUCACUUUUUAAGGUGUAUUCUCUCUUCCUGUACUUUUCAAGGCCUAAGAUGUGCUCUGUAUUUAAUAUUCUAAGGUGGAUUGACAAUAAAAUGAUGCAGAUGGGAAAGAACUGAGGUAUUUGAUUAAAAGUUCUAAAAACAAUGUAAACAUUGAGACUUCUUGUUGCAAUAGUCCACAGGGGGGCAUUGCAUGCCAAUUCAUGAUUUGUGGAAUUUUCCAUUCUGUCAUUAGACACCUGAAGUUCACAAACAACUCCUGCACACAGACAAAUGACAACCCUGUUAUUGUCUCACAGGGAUCUUCUUUGAUUUUUAUUAAUUCAUACUCUUCUUCUGACUUCAGACUUCUCAAAGACAAGGGUUGAUUUUUUAAAAAAAAAAAAGGUCAGUGGGGCCGGCCCAGUGGCGCAGCAGUUAAGUUUGCACGUUCAGCUUCGGUGGCCUGGGGUUCGCCAGUUUGGAUCCCAGGUGCAGACAUGGCACUGCUUGGCAAAGUCAUGCUGUGGUAGGCGUCCCACAUAUAAAGUAGAGGAAGAUGGGCACAGAUGUUAGCUCAGGGCCAGUCUUCCUCAGCAAAAAGAGGAGGAUUGGCAGCAGACGUUACCUCAGGGCUAAUCUUCCUUAAAAAAAAAAAAAAAAAGGUCAGUAAAAGGCAACCAAAGCAAAAAUAAACAAAUGGGACUACAUCAAAAGAAACCAUCAACAAAAUGAAAAGACACUUACUGAGUGGAAGAAAUAUUUGCAAAUAAUAUAUCCGAAAAGGGGUUAAUAGUCAAAAGAUAUAAACAACUCAUAAAAUUCAACAGCAAAAAACCAAACAAUCCAAUUAAAAAAUAGGCAGAGGAUCUGAAUAGACAC